This is a non-coding RNA of Pimephales promelas (fathead minnow), 425 nucleotides long. The record is from RefSeq and is a predicted model, not a curated record. Lineage: Eukaryota; Metazoa; Chordata; Actinopteri; Cypriniformes; Leuciscidae.
UGAUCUUCAUCUCUAAAGCACUACUGAUGAACCAUAUGAUUAAACAAGUCUGUGACUGACUUAAUGAACCCAGUUGGUUUGGAUCAUGCUCAAAGAUGUAAGGGUUACAAAAAGUUAACCAGAACUCUUAUGGACUCCAUCUUCUCUUUCAAAGAGAUGGCAACAUGAACGGAAAAAAGGGGUUGUUGGUGAAAAAAGAGCCUUGACCUACAAAAGGUGCAGCUAAUAAUUGACCAUAUCAAAAAGAGGCACCCAGGCAUCGGAGGCACUGAGAUUAAGGUCUGCAUGGCACAAAAGUUAAAAGAUCUGAGGAGACGAGCAGAAAGGAUGCCUGCUGCAGAAGACACAAAGGACUGAGACACACUUUUACAAACGCACACCACACACACUGACAUGCGCGUACCUGCGUUUUUUUUUUUUUGUGG